This 536-nucleotide ribosomal RNA is filed under the name uncultured bacterium. RNAcentral describes it as "bacterial SSU rRNA". It matches the Rfam family "Bacterial small subunit ribosomal RNA", at positions 15 to 572 of the family's 1533-position model. The record is from RNAcentral.
GAUCCUGGCUCAGAACGAACGCUGGCGGCGUGGAUAAGACAUGCAAGUCGAACGAGAGAAUUGCUAGCUUGCUAAUAAUUCUCUAGUGGCGCACGGGUGAGUAACACGUGAGUAACCUGCCCCCGAGAGCGGGAUAGCCCUGGGAAACUGGGAUUAAUACCGCAUAGUAUCGAAAGAUUAAAGCAGCAAUGCGCUUGGGGAUGGGCUCGCGGCCUAUUAGUUAGUUGGUGAGGUAACGGCUCACCAAGGCGAUGACGGGUAGCCGGUCUGAGAGGAUGUCCGGCCACACUGGAACUGAGACACGGUCCAGACACCUACGGGUGGCAGCAGUCGAGAAUCAUUCACAAUGGGGGAAACCCUGAUGGUGCGACGCCGCGUGGGGGAAUGAAGGUCUUCGGAUUGUAAACCCCCGUCAUGUGGGAGCAAAUUAAAAAGAUAGUACCACAAGAGGAAGAGACGGCUAACUCUGUGCCAGCAGCCGCGGUAAUACAGAGGUCUCAAGCGUUGUUCGGAAUCACUGGGCGUAAAGCGUGCGU